Long non-coding RNA from Thunnus maccoyii (southern bluefin tuna), 4247 nucleotides. RefSeq lists it as uncharacterized. The record is from RefSeq and is a predicted model, not a curated record. NCBI's taxonomy places the organism in Eukaryota, Metazoa, Chordata, Actinopteri, Scombriformes, Scombridae. The transcript is spliced from 6 exons.
AUAAUUGGAAGUCAUAAUGUUUGCUAAUGUUGCGGUUAAGCUGUGCUAAUGUAAACAUGUUGCUACUACUUUAAAUAUUAGCUGUUAGCUAAAAAUAACUAGCCUAAAGAGUUUGACUCUGAAUGAGAUGAAAAGACAAACACAUGCACUGUCACACUUUUGGUUCUCAAAGUACUUUUCCAAAUGUAUUUGUACAAAGUUAGCUAUCUAAAAUGACAUUGUUACACUGCUGCUGUUUGGAUGAUUUCAGCCGUCCCACAGCUCAAGUAACGUUACGCGUGCCGCUACAGUAGUUUAUGUAACUUAGCAAAACAAGACACCAAGACUGAAUGGUACCCAACACUUAACAAAGCAAACAUUUCUGUUGACACUGCAAAAUUGUUAGUACUGACUCCGACAAAAGAGCAGAUACACAGCCAAUUUCAUACUGUAAAGUUGCUUUCAGCAUGAUUAGCAUGCGUCUGGUUCUGAAACAGCUUACCUACUUGGCAUGGCAUUAUUUGGGUAAUGGUAGCAAUACAGUACAGUAUGUUUGGCUCCAAUAGUAUUUGGGGUAUUGUUCUCCUCUCAUUCCUCUCUUGUACAAACUCUUGUCCCAGUAAUGGUGGAUCCAUAACCCUGAGCAAAAAGGCAAAAUGAUAGAGGACAAAGAAUCAAUGAAUUCUUUGUAUUUUCUUUAUGAUGAGUAAUUCUUGAGAUUUGUUAUAAAAUUGUAGAGUAAAUGCAUGUGCACUGCUGGGAUAAUUUUGUUAGCAUAUGCUUUUGUAUCCUAUUGAUUACUGUACAUUUUAUAAAUUCAAAUCAGUUUGACAUGGUGUAUGAUAUUGUUUUUGUAACUUUGGGGACAUCACAGCAGGACGUCACCUUCAAACAUGUAGGCACCCAAACUGACUCCACCAGUAGGACAACAGAUGGCAUAAAGCUUUCCAUUGAGACACUGGGACAACAUGUAAGAACCAAAGACAGUGGCAGAGCCAGCCUUUGGUUGGAAGCAUCCCCGUUGGCACCCUUCAGAUAUCAGCAGCCACAUAUUUCACUGGUGCAUCCUUCUUCCAGCUGGAAAAGAUAUGCAAAGUCAUGCAGCUCCAGAUUUUCUAGUUUGGCACCUGAAGGAGGCUUGCUAAGAUGUACCUGGAGGCUGCUAUUGUCCACAAAUGGAAGACGGAUCAGUAGAAUGUCUGUGAAGAUUCUCAGUCCUCCAGGUCAAGGUUAUCCAAGGAGGGUUGAAGCGAGGGAAACUGGACUUGGUUGUAGAUACUUGAAGAUGUUUUGCCUUUCAUCCGAGGGACUUCAGUAUCUCCCAUUGUGGCCAACCUCUACAUGGAGGAAGUAGAAAUCAGAGCCUUGAACUCCUUCAUAGGAACAGCACCGAAUUCAUACGAGAGGAUAUCAGGAAUAACAGCUUGGCCUUUUUGGACUGUGCCGUACACAUUGAAGAGGACACAAGCUUCCACAUUGGAGUAUACAGGAAACCCACAUACACAGACCAAUACUAACUCUUUGACUCUCACCACCCACUGGGUUGGUGCAGGGUUAUCGAAACCCUGCACCAAUCAAAUUGAUAAUGUACCAACAGGUGCCCAGGCCCAAGAGAGGGAGCGCUAACACCUGAAGGAUGCACUUAAGGCUUGUGGACACCCUAAAUGGAACUUUGUGGAAACAGCAACAAGAUCCAGGAAGAACACAAACGCUGCAGGUGGUGAAGAACAUCAUCAUUCCAUGUGUGUCUGGAGUAUCUCAGAAACUCAGGAGGAUUUUCAACAAACACUCUAUCCCUGUGUUUUUCAAAACCAGCGACAUACUAAGACACACUGGUCCACCCGAAAGACCGCACACUCAAACACAAGAAAAGCAACCUGGUGUAUGCAGUGAGGAACGCACAGACUUAUGUAUCGGGGAAACUAAACAACCAUUAAAUAAACACACGGCGCAACACAGGAGGGCCAACUCCUCCUACCUACACCCAAAAGAUAAGGGACACUCUUGCAAGGACAACAACAUACAUAUUUUGGGUUGGGUGGACACACCUACAAAGCUGACCUUUCAUCCCUGUAACUGAGUUACAGGUCUGUUAUUAAAAGCCUCCAACUUAUACUUUAAAUUUGUGUUGAAAAGCCUUGCCACUUUCUCUGUUAUGUUUUCUUUAGGGCAUUCAGCAAAGUAUGGCAGCUACACUCUGAUGCACCUGGAGAGCAACGCCAUUAUGGACCUUCAGCUUGUUCAGAGCAAUGAAAUACAGACGUUUCUGAAGGAACACAACAUCACACAGUUCUACAACGUGUGGCAUUUAGAGAAAGGUUUGUCCAAGAAACUAAACAAACUUGCAAAAAAUAAGGACUGUGAGGUGUUGAAGUGGCUGCGCAGCAUGAAAAGCACGUCUACUGGAGUAUGACCUCUUCAACAUCAGGGUCCGAAAAGGUUGCCAACUGGAAGUCACUGGUCAACCACAUUCAGGAUGUACACAUGCGUGAUGACCCCGUCUUCCCCAAGUGAGAACAUACUGACAAAGUGUCAAGGGAUCCAAAGGAACGGUUCCAACGAGGUAUGUAAACAAAAUGUGCCUUUACAAGUCUUAAAAAAAUAAAUAAAUAAUGUUAAACUUUGUUUCAUUUAUCACUUAAUAAUAUCACCAAUGUUCAAAAAAUCCCUAAUAGCACUUCAAAUAUCUCUUUUGUAAUGACAAUGUAUUGGUGUCCUGACCAUUUUAAUGGGCUACUAUUUUACAAAAUCUUUUUGUAAUGUAACUCGAGGGUCAAUGGCAACUGACCCACCACAACCCGACAUCAUCGCUAGAAGCCUUUCACAGCUUGAUCCUGCAUUUCACACCCAAGAAUGUGGUUUUCCCUUUCAUUGGUAUGUUGUGCAGGUAAUAUACUUUAUAAUGGAUUCUGUAAGAACUUAUUACUGAUUAGUGGCUAAUAAGUUUUACAACAAAAUUGAGUCCUGGGUCAUUGAGUUGAGUCAGUCUGUUAUUGUAGGUUGUAACUAGUGGUAAUGCAUUACAAUGAAAAUGCAGAGAACAACGUCUGCAGGACAAGGUGUCUUCAAGGUCGUGUUCCCCAAGUCCAAGAAGGGUGAAGGCUUUGCAAAGCCAGUAAAAACAGACCCUACUUACACUAAGUAACGUUGACCAUUUUCGGUCAAUGUUAGUGCUCAAGGAGCUAUUUUAAACUCAGCUGAAGUGUCUGUUAAUGGCCCUUAGCACCGGCUGUUUGGCUGGGAGGACGGAUAUAGAGGGAGAGUAUUAGUCAAGCAGCAUUUCACCAAAAAGCACAGCGUGAGAGGCAACUUUUGGGGAAAUGGGUAACUGCCACAAUGAAGCCACUUUUCAGCAGAGAAGUGAGUAACAUUAAGUGCACCAAACUCCAUUGAAAAAAAUGACAAUUUAACAUAGCAAUGAUUAGUUCGCUUGUUAACUAGUAAUUUAAGUAAAAUUUUUACUGGAAUUCCACAUUUACCUACAAAAUAUGUGCUGAAUUAAACAGCAGCUCCUAAUGUUACUUCAUCUUUAAAAUAUCAUCCAUGUUGCUUUCCUUACACCUACAAACAAAGUCUAUUUUAAAUUGUGUAUUUUUAUACAGGAGGUUGCUUUGAGCAGUGUUAACUCAGAGGUUGUUCAGUUAGGCCGUGCUUUCAGCGCUUUCAGCAGACACGCCCCCAGCGUUUCAGAGCAGAGAGUACUGCCGAAACCUAAUUUAUAUAAUUGGCGACUUUUUUAAUCAUUCAAAUUUGGCUGGGUGGUUAAUUACACAUUUUUCUGUGGCGUAACAAACUCAGAGCACAUAUUUAUUAUUGCUUUACAUGGACUUUAUAUAUGUACAAGGAAGGUGGAUUCAGAGAAGUAGUUAAUUUAAAACACAAGGAAGUGACUAUUUGAAUGCAGUAUUUUACAGAUUAUGUGAAUGACCUGAUGAGACUCGUCUUUGAUGAGGUAUUUGAGGACCCAACAACAUUUGUUCCCUGAGAACCAGUAUGAGAGACCAUCAAAGGAGGAAGUGUUUGCCUUCCAGGUCUCCCGCUUCAGUCAAAGGGUGAUUGGAAGCCAACAUAUGGACCAGCUGGAUCAGGAAACUCCUGGUGUAUCCAGAGUACAACAUGUGACUGGAUGACAACCCUGACCCUCCGUCCUAAAUAUCCCCAGCACCAGCUGACAAAGCUGAGAUGACAGUAAUGUCUGAAAGGAGAGGAUCAGACAGUAUUACCGUUACAGUUAAAUGCUGUAUUUGCUGUGUAUUUAUUGACAUAUG